RNAcentral lists this ribosomal RNA (253 nucleotides) under uncultured bacterium. Its description in RNAcentral is "partial 16S ribosomal RNA". It matches the Rfam family "Bacterial small subunit ribosomal RNA", at positions 524 to 776 of the family's 1533-position model. The record is from RNAcentral.
UACGUAGGGGGCUAGCGUUGUCCGGAAUCAUUGGGCGUAAAGAGCGUGUAGGCGGUCCGGUAAGUCCGCUGUGAAAGUCGGGGGCUCAACCCUCGAAUGCCGGUGGAUACUGUCGGGCUAGAGUGCGGAAGAGGCGAUCGGAAUUCCUGGUGUAGCGGUGAAAUGCGCAGAUAUCGGGAAGAACACCCGUGGCGAAGGCGGCUCUCUGGGACGGUACUGACGCUGAGACGCGAAAGCGUGGGGAGCGAACAGG